RNAcentral lists this ribosomal RNA (751 nucleotides) under Escherichia coli. RNAcentral's name for it is "partial 23S ribosomal RNA". It matches the Rfam family "Bacterial large subunit ribosomal RNA", at positions 2192 to 2925 of the family's 2925-position model. The record is from RNAcentral. Lineage: Bacteria; Pseudomonadati; Pseudomonadota; Gammaproteobacteria; Enterobacterales; Enterobacteriaceae.
UUGAAAUACCACCCUUUAAUGUUUGAUGUUCUAACGUUGGCCCGUAAUCCGGGUUGCGGACAGUGUCUGGUGGGUAGUUUGACUGGGGCGGUCUCCUCCUAAAGAGUAACGGAGGAGCACGAAGGUUGGCUAAUCCUGGUCGGACAUCAGGAGGUUAGUGCAAUGGCAUAAGCCAGCUUGACUGCGAGCGUGACGGCGCGAGCAGGUGCGAAAGCAGGUCAUAGUGAUCCGGUGGUUCUGAAUGGAAGGGCCAUCGCUCAACGGAUAAAAGGUACUCCGGGGAUAACAGGCUGAUACCGCCCAAGAGUUCAUAUCGACGGCGGUGUUUGGCACCUCGAUGUCGGCUCAUCACAUCCUGGGGCUGAAGUAGGUCCCAAGGGUAUGGCUGUUCGCCAUUUAAAGUGGUACGCGAGCUGGGUUUAGAACGUCGUGAGACAGUUCGGUCCCUAUCUGCCGUGGGCGCUGGAGAACUGAGGGGGGCUGCUCCUAGUACGAGAGGACCGGAGUGGACGCAUCACUGGUGUUCGGGUUGUCAUGCCAAUGGCACUGCCCGGUAGCUAAAUGCGGAAGAGAUAAGUGCUGAAAGCAUCUAAGCACGAAACUUGCCCCGAGAUGAGUUCUCCCUGACUCCUUGAGAGUCCUGAAGGAACGUUGAAGACGACGACGUUGAUAGGCCGGGUGUGUAAGCGCAGCGAUGCGUUGAGCUAACCGGUACUAAUGAACCGUGAGGCUUAACCUUACAACGCCGAAG